Molecule: ribosomal RNA, 469 nt
Filed under: Bokermannohyla circumdata (Espirito Santo treefrog)
Lineage: Eukaryota; Metazoa; Chordata; Amphibia; Anura; Hylidae
Description: partial 16S ribosomal RNA
Rfam family: Bacterial large subunit ribosomal RNA
Source: RNAcentral
CGAAGGUAGCGUAAUCACUUGUUCUUUAAAUGAGGACUAGUAUGAAUGGCACCACGAGGGUUAGACUGUCUCUUUUUUUUGAUCAGUGAAACUAAUCUCCCCGUGAAAAAGCGGGGAUUAUUAUAUAAGACGAGAAGACCCUAUGGAGCUUUAAACAAACUAACAUCCGCUACCACUUAAUUACUUUCAGAAUUACAACAAAAAAUAUAGCAACUUGAUUACAAGUUUUCGAUUGGGGUGAUCACGGAGUAAAAAACAACCUCCACGCCGAACGGACUAAACUCCUUAACAACAAGCCACGGCUUUACGUAUUAAUAUAUUAACGCCUUUGACCCAUUAUUUGAUCAACGAACCAAGUUACCCUAGGGAUAACAGCGCAAUCUACUUCAAGAGCCCCUAUCGACAAGUGGGUUUACGACCUCGAUGUUGGAUCAGGGUGUCCCAGUGGUGCAGCCGCUACUAAAGGUUG